This 263-nucleotide ribosomal RNA is filed under the name uncultured bacterium. RNAcentral's name for it is "partial 16S ribosomal RNA". It matches the Rfam family "Bacterial small subunit ribosomal RNA", at positions 793 to 1055 of the family's 1533-position model. The record is from RNAcentral.
GUCCACGCCCUAAACGAUGAGAACUAGCCGUUGGGCCCUUUAAGGGUUUAGUGGCGCAGCUAACGCAUUAAGUUCUCCGCCUGGGGAGUACGGCCGCAAGGUUAAAACUCAAAUGAAUUGACGGGGGCCCGCACAAGCGGUGGAGCAUGUGGUUUAAUUCGAUGCAACGCGAAGAACCUUACCUGGUCUUGACAUCCUGCGAACUUUCCAGAGAUGGAUUGGUGCCUUCGGGAGCGCAGAGACAGGUGCUGCAUGGCUGUCGU